Molecule: ribosomal RNA, 468 nt
Filed under: uncultured bacterium
Lineage: Bacteria
Description: partial 16S ribosomal RNA
Rfam family: Bacterial small subunit ribosomal RNA
Source: RNAcentral
GACGAACGCUGGCGGCGUGCUUAACACAUGCAAGUCGAACGGAAAGGCCCGGCUCUUGCGGGGUGCUCGAGUGGCGAACGGGUGUGUAACACGUGAGUAACCUGCCCUUGACUUUGGGAUAACUCCAGGAAACGGGGGCUAAUACCGGAGAGGAGCUCCUGCAGCAUGGGGGGCGUUGGAAAGCUUAGGCGGUGGGGGAUGGACUCGCGGUUUAUGAGCUUGUUGGGGGGGUAGUGGCUUACCAAGGGUUUGACGGGUAGCCGGCCUGAGAGGGUGGCCGGCGACCUUGGGCCUACGGUACGGCCCAGACUCCAACGGGGGGCAGCAGUGGGGAAUAUUGCACAAUGAGGGGAAGCCUGAUACAACAGCGCCGCGUGCGGGAUGACGGCCUUCGGGUUGUGAACCGCUUUGGCCUGUGACGAAGCGUGAGUGACGGUAAUGGGUAAAGAAGCACCGGCUAACUACGUG